GGAGUUUGGACCGUGUCUCAGUUCCAAUGUGGGGGACCUUCCUCUCAGAACCCCUACCGAUCGAUGGCUUGGUGGGCCGUUACCCCGCCAACUACCUAAUCGGACGCAUCCCCAUCCAUGGCCGGUAAACCUUUAGUCCUCGUUAGAUGUCUGCAAAGGACACCAUAGAGCAUUAAUCCGACUUUCGCCGGGCUAUUCUCUACUAUGGGGAAGGUUGGAUACGCGUUACUCACCCGUGCGCCGGUCGCCAUCAUCGGUUGCAAGCAACCGACAUGCUGCCCCUCGACUUGCAUGUGUUAAGCCUGUAGCUAGCGUUCAUC
Molecule: ribosomal RNA, 320 nt
Filed under: uncultured Prevotella sp.
Lineage: Bacteria; Pseudomonadati; Bacteroidota; Bacteroidia; Bacteroidales; Prevotellaceae
Description: partial 16S ribosomal RNA
Source: RNAcentral